GGUGGCUCAGUGGUAGAGAGCUUGCCUUGCAUGCAUGAAGUCCUGGGUUCGAUUCCUCAGCACCA
RNAcentral lists this transfer RNA (65 nucleotides) under Dipodomys ordii (Ord's kangaroo rat). It matches the Rfam family "tRNA". From Rfam's summary of the family: Transfer RNA (tRNA) molecules are approximately 80 nucleotides in length. Lineage: Eukaryota; Metazoa; Chordata; Mammalia; Rodentia; Heteromyidae. The record is from Rfam by way of RNAcentral.